UGAGCAUGGAAGGCCGAAGGUUGCAA
RNAcentral lists this non-coding RNA (26 nucleotides) under Homo sapiens (human). The record is from RNAcentral. Lineage: Eukaryota; Metazoa; Chordata; Mammalia; Primates; Hominidae.